AAAUCAUGUGAGCUUGAGAAGGAAUCAGAUUCUGCAUAUAUUUCCAAGUUAACAUGAACAAGAUUUUCUGAAAGACUGCUAUGGAGUCUGAGAAAAAAUGUCAAAGGUAGUGCCAAAAUUGUCACUUAAAGAACUGCAGGAAUGGAGUUGGCAUUUACAGAAUUUGGAAGAGAAGCAGGUUUAGUGAUAAAGACCAGAAGCACAGAGCUAAGCAUAUUAAAUAUUGAGGACAUGAAGAGGAAAGAACUGACAGAGGAGGUGAAGAAAGGUGAUCAGGAAGAGCCAUCAAAGUGUUAUCCUGGAAUUCAAGUGAAGACAGUGUUUCAAAGUGGAAAUGAACAGUGUCCUGUAACCCUCAGAGUGAGACUAGAGUCAGAAUGCAAGCUUUUCUCAUUUGAAAUCUGGUAAGUCCAGGUCCUUACCUCCACCUAAAAGUUCUGCCAUCAAGGAACAUCUGCUCAUUAUCUUCUGUCCACACAUCAAAUGACUUCAAUGUGAUCCCUGGAUGUUCUCCAAAGAGCUGAAAGGAAAUAAAUAUUCUUUCUUUAUCACCAAAUACUUCAAAUGCAGAGUGGUUGUGCUACCAAGGCCUGAAACUUCGGAAAAACCUGCAUAACACAAAAUAUUAAGUGCAUCUCUGAGAUAUGCCACAGAGAGGAUCCAGAGAGCUCAUCUCCGGUCAGUUAUCUGUAUUUGCAUGUCAACUACAGCAUCAAAAAGCAUAGGCAUGGAUACUAAGGACCCCCUCUGUACACCAACGCCAGUCCAAAGGAUAGUGUGUCACUGUGAACUGGAAAUUCAUCUCUCUUCUUCAUUUUUUUUCUACCUACUUUAUGCUUUAUCUCUAAGUUGAGGCUGUUUAUGGCCUCAUCCUCAAUUACCUUGUCCCUCAUUACUCCCAGUUAAUGGAGAUUAAGCUUUGUAUCAUGACUUCCUAACUAAAACUG
This 947-nucleotide long non-coding RNA is filed under the name Pan troglodytes (chimpanzee). RNAcentral describes it as "long non-coding RNA NONPTRT000369". Lineage: Eukaryota; Metazoa; Chordata; Mammalia; Primates; Hominidae. The record is from RNAcentral.